Cinara cedri is the source of this 205-nucleotide non-coding RNA. NCBI's taxonomy places the organism in Eukaryota, Metazoa, Arthropoda, Insecta, Hemiptera, Aphididae. The record is from the annotation of a GenBank genome assembly.
UACUCAAUUAAACCUCCUCAAAUAAAGAUCUAUAAAGUAUAUAUCAUUAAUAUUAGGCAGGCUAAAGCUCUCUCCGAAAAUAUUUGUAUUAUUUGUGCUUAUGACUUUUGUGAAUGGUUUGAAUGCAAAAACCAUUGCCUCCCUUGCCAAAAAGACCUGCGCACGAUUAUACAUGGUGUAUAAUGAAGAUAAAUAAAAAAUAAUG